RNAcentral lists this ribosomal RNA (305 nucleotides) under Desulfobulbaceae bacterium. RNAcentral describes it as "partial 23S ribosomal RNA". It matches the Rfam family "Bacterial large subunit ribosomal RNA", at positions 2626 to 2925 of the family's 2925-position model. Lineage: Bacteria; Pseudomonadati; Thermodesulfobacteriota; Desulfobulbia; Desulfobulbales; Desulfobulbaceae. The record is from RNAcentral.
ACAGUUUGGUCCUUAUCUGUUGCGGGCGUAGGAUAUUUGAGGAGAGCUGUUCCUAGUACGAGAGGACCGGAAUGGACGAACCGAUGGUGUUCCUGUUGUGGCGCCAGCCGCAUCGCAGGGUAGCUAAGUUCGGAAGGGAUAACCGCUGAAAGCAUCUAAGCGGGAAGCCCACUCCAAGAUUAGAUAUCCCGUGGGGUAAUACCCACCUAAAGGCUCGUUGAAGACUACAACGUCGAUAGGCCAGGUGUGGAAGUGUAGCGAUACAUGGAGCUUACUGGUACUAAUCAGCCGUGCGGCUUAACCAU